RNAcentral lists this ribosomal RNA (460 nucleotides) under uncultured bacterium. RNAcentral describes it as "partial 16S ribosomal RNA". It matches the Rfam family "Bacterial small subunit ribosomal RNA", at positions 338 to 795 of the family's 1533-position model. The record is from RNAcentral.
ACUACGGGUGGCAGCAGUGAGGAAUAUUGGUCAAUGGGCGCGAGCCUGAACCAGCCAAGUAGCGUGAAGGAUGACUGCCCUACGGGUUGUAACCUUCUUUUAUAAAGGAAUAAAGUGAUGCACGUGUGCCUUUAUGUAUGUACUUUAUGAAUAAGGAUCGGCUAACUCCGUGCCAGCAGCCGCGGUAAUACGGAGGUUCCGAGCGUUAUCCGGAUUUAUUGGGUUUAAAGGGAGCGUAGAUGGGUUGUUAAGUCAGUUGUGAAAGUUUGCGGCUCAACCGUAAAAUUGCAAUUGAUACUGGCAGUCUUGAGUACAGUUGUGGUAGGCGGAAUGCGUGGUGUAGCGGUGAAAUGCUUAGAUAUCACGAAGAACUCCGAGUGCGAAGGCAGCUUACUAAACUGCCACUGACAUUGAUGCUCGAAAGUGUGGGUAUCAAACAGGAUUAGAUACCCGAGUAGUC